RNAcentral lists this ribosomal RNA (466 nucleotides) under uncultured bacterium. Its description in RNAcentral is "partial 16S ribosomal RNA". It matches the Rfam family "Bacterial small subunit ribosomal RNA", at positions 28 to 507 of the family's 1533-position model. The record is from RNAcentral.
GAUGAACGCUGGCGGCGUGCUUAACACAUGCAAGUCGAACGGAAAGGCUCCUGCUUGCAGGGGUACUCGAGUGGCGAACGGGUGAGUAACACGUGGGUGAUCUGCCCUGCACUUCGGGAUAAGCCUGGGAAACUGGGUCUAAUACCGGAUAGGACGAUGGUUUGGAUGCCAUUGUGGAAAGUUUUUUCGGUGUGGGAUGAGCUCGCGGCCUAUCAGCUUGUUGGUGGGGUAAUGGCCUACCAAGGCGUCGACGGGUAGCCGGCCUGAGAGGGUGUACGGCCACAUUGGGAGUGAUAUGCGGCCCGGACCCCGCCGGGGGGCAGGAGGGGGGGAUAGUGCAGAAUGGGCGCAAGCCAUAAUCAGCGGCGCCGGGUGGGGGAGGACGGCCUUGGGUUUGUAAACCCCUUCCGCUGGGGAAGAACCGCAAGGGAGGGUCCGUGGAGAAGAAGCACCGGCUAACUAGGUG